CCUACGGGUGGCAGCAGUGAGGAAUAUUGGUCAAUGGACGAGAGUCUGAACCAGCCAAGUAGCGUGAAGGAUGACUGCCCUCUGGGUUGUAAACUUCUUUUAUAAAGGUAUAAACCGAGGCACGUCUGCCUUUUUACGUGUCCUUUAUGUAUAAGGAUCGGCUAACUCCGUGCCAGCAGCCGCGGUCAUACGGAGGAUCCGAUCGUUAUCCGGAUGUAGUGGGUUUAAGGGGCGCGUAGAUGGGUUGUUAAGUCGGUUGUGAAAGUUUGCGGCUCAACCGUAAAAUUGCAAUUGAUACUGGCAGUCUGGAGUACAGUUGAGGUAGGUGGAAUUCGUGGUGUAGCGGUGAAAUGCUUAGAUAUCACGAAGAACCUCGAUUGCGAAGGCAGCUUACUAAACUGUGACUGACAUUGAUGCUCGAAAGUGUGGGUAUCAAACAGGAUUAGAUACCCCGGUAGUC
RNAcentral lists this ribosomal RNA (460 nucleotides) under uncultured bacterium. Its description in RNAcentral is "partial 16S ribosomal RNA". It matches the Rfam family "Bacterial small subunit ribosomal RNA", at positions 338 to 795 of the family's 1533-position model. The record is from RNAcentral.